Long non-coding RNA from Lytechinus variegatus (green sea urchin), 1082 nucleotides. RefSeq lists it as uncharacterized. NCBI's taxonomy places the organism in Eukaryota, Metazoa, Echinodermata, Echinoidea, Temnopleuroida, Toxopneustidae. The record is from RefSeq and is a predicted model, not a curated record. The transcript has 3 exons.
GACGUCACGUACCGUACGUUGACUUUAUAGAGAACAUUAUUUCGAUGUAGUGUGGCGGAAACAAAAGAUACGAGCUAUGGGGAGCUAUGGAGAAGGAUAAAUCACCACUCACCGUUACUUCAAAUUGUUGAAGAAUUUUAUUCUAAUCAGUCAAACUUAACCUGCUUGGAGGGGAAUCCUUUACUUACUGCGGCAGCCCCCGGGACACAGUGGUAGCCCGAACAUGAACGGAGGCGUCCCGGGGCUAUCCACGUGAGAGUACCGUACCGUACCUCGCUUGAACUUCAACUGUAGACUAGGAACAACGGUUUACUGCAGACAGCAGUCGACACGAGUAGACUAAAUGGCGGGACCGAGAACAAACGAAACGAGGACAAAGUGGAUGCAGACCAAUCAGCAAUUUACUGGAUUUGCAGCUGUGCGGAUAUGUGAUUGAAGAUGUAUCUGAGAUCCUUCUUCAAGAACCGCACAUCUUCAGAGAACCACUGUUAAAAAGGAAUACAUGGGACUACCAAUUUUGGAUUACAUCUGGAUUGAGAGUGCACUUUCACAGAGGGAGUCCACUGCAUAGAUGAACAGAGAUGAACUCCAACACCAAUGCUAGAAUGAUCAACGGUGCUGGUCCUUCCACCAGUGAACCUGGCCCCACCCCUCCCCCUUUACCUCCCGGUGGACCCCCUAGCCUGAUGGCAACAGGGGCAUCUUUGCCCCCAUCAUCAGUGGGCGGUGCCCCUGGUGGGGUAAUGGGUGGUGGUGGCGGUGGGCCUGGAGUUACCAGGACGGGACAGUCCAGUGGAUUUGGGGUGUGGUGCGAGAGGUGUAACAGUCGGCUGGUGGAGCUGAAGAAGCAGGCCGUGAGAUUGAUGGUCAUGCAUCCAAACCUCAUGAAAUUGGCAAUGAAGGUAAGACAUAAUUCCUAUAAAAUCUCUUCACUCAGUUGCAAAGAUCUUGAGUACAUUUGUGGUACUAUGCCAGGUGAUACAUCAACUAACAUAUUGUAAAUUCUUUAACAAAGGGACUUCAAUGAAACAACAAAAGGAACAAUCUGCUCCCAUUUAUUUUCAUCUUCUUUAGAUGUAGAA